UACGUAGGGUGCGAGCGUUGUCCGGAAUUAUUGGGCGUAAAGAGCUCGUAGGCGGUGUGUCGCGUCGGCCGUGAAAACCUGGGGCUCAACUCUGGGCGUGCGGUCGAUACGGGCAUCACUGGAGUUCGGCAGGGGAGACUGGAAUUCCUGGUGUAGCGGUGAAAUGCGCAGAUAUCAGGAGGAACACCGGUGGCGAAGGCGGGUCUCUGGGACGUGACUGACGCUGAGACGCGAAAGCGUGGGGAGCAAACAGG
RNAcentral lists this ribosomal RNA (254 nucleotides) under uncultured bacterium. Its description in RNAcentral is "partial 16S ribosomal RNA". It matches the Rfam family "Bacterial small subunit ribosomal RNA", at positions 524 to 776 of the family's 1533-position model. The record is from RNAcentral.